UGCUUUUCAAAUUUUUGCUCUUUUAUUUG
This 29-nucleotide non-coding RNA is filed under the name Mus musculus (house mouse). The record is from RNAcentral. Lineage: Eukaryota; Metazoa; Chordata; Mammalia; Rodentia; Muridae.